GACUACAUGAAGCUGGAAUCGCUAGUAAUCGCAAAUCAGAAUGUUGCGGUGAAUACGUUCCCGGGUCUUGUACACACCGCCCGUCACACCAUGGGAGUCGGAUAUGCCCGAAGCCAGUGACCUAACCGUAAGGAAGGAGCUGUCGAAGGUGGAGCCGAUAACUGGGGUGAAGUCGUAACAAGGUAAC
Molecule: ribosomal RNA, 187 nt
Filed under: uncultured bacterium
Lineage: Bacteria
Description: partial 16S ribosomal RNA
Rfam family: Bacterial small subunit ribosomal RNA
Source: RNAcentral